CAACGCAGUACCUCAUUAGGUGGUGUGGAAAUCUGCUACAAUGACCUGAAAUUUUUGACUUUUUUUUUUUUGAAUCUGACUUGAUGACAUUAUGACAUUUUAAGUUAUUUUUAAAAGUCAUCAAAAGUGAUAUUUUAGCAUGAAUUUUCAACAUUUUUCUCAACAAAAGUCAGAUUUUACUUGACUUGAUUCAAUUUAGAAAAAAAUGUAAAUAAGUCAUAAAUUUCUGACAUUAUGACAUUUCAAAAUGGCAAUUUUCAUUGCUACUUCUACCACAGAGCAGACUCGUGGACUGGUUGUACUAUCAGUAUUCAUGUACAAGGAGUUGAGAAAAAUUGCACAAUUGAAAUGAAUCGUGGUCGGAAGAAAGUUACCUGGUAUAGAGACAAAUUUACAGUGCAAGGAAAAAAACUUCAUUGCCAAUGCUAUGAAGAGAAAGAAGAAGGUACCUUGGGAAGCGAUGACGAGGUUGAAAACGUGAAUGAUUCGCUAUCUAACAAUUCAGCGGCCAGUAAUGUUAGUACAGCUGUAGGCCAAAAUCAAGAUGAGACUCCUCCGAAAAAGAGGAAACUUUGUAGCUUCGAAACUGAAGAUGAUCACAACAGUAAUUUGAAAAGACAUAUUCUCCGAAAACAUCCAGUUCAAUUUGAAGAAAUUAAUAAAAAAAUACUGGAAGCAAAUAAUUCGAAGCAAACUCCAGUGGAAAAAUUUUAUCAGCCAGUCAAAUUGAAAGUUGAUUUAUCUUUUGACGAUAUUAAAAGAGCAGCAAUCUCACUUUGCACAGUUGAUGGGCGGCCAUUUUCUGCAGUGGAGGAUGAUGGAUGGAAAAAAAUUGUGCAACCCAUCUGUGAUGCAGGUCGUUUUGAAAAGAUAUCACGUGAAAAAGUUGCUCUGUGGAUCAAAACUUCUGCCAGGAAUAUACGUGAAAAAAUUGCGGAUGAAGUGAAAGGAGCUGUUGUUCAUGUUCAAGCCGAUUGUGCAACAUACAAGUUGCGCCCAUUUUUGGGGAUCACCAUCCAGUUCAGAACGUAUGAUUUGAAAUUCAAGCAAUAUAAUUUGGGCUGUUAUUAGGUAUAUUGAUUGUCCUCAUACUGGUGAAAACUUGAAAAAAAUUGUUCUCAAAGUUCUUCUGAGAUUUGGAAUUCCGCCAGAAAAAGUUUGCACAAUAACGACAGAUAAUGCCUCAAAUUUUCAGAAAGCUCAAAUGUGGAUGAAAGUGACGAAGAUGAUGACGAUUUUUCAUCCCUAUUGAUAGAAGAGGAGGUGAUGGAUGUUGAUCCAGUGAAAUUUGAGUCCAUGAAAAUUACAAUACAAAACGCCCUACAUAAAUGAUCUACAAAAGGAAUAUAUUGAAUUGAUUCUAAUGAGCAUGGUAUUCGAUGUAUAGUACACAGCUUUCAACUAGGAAUACGAAAUUUUCUGAAUAAUAAGGAGGAGUUGUUGGUGAAAGUUCGUGCUCUGGUAAAUAAGUGCAGGUCACAAAAUAUCCGAUUGCAGUUAAUAAAAAAUGGCUGCAAGUUAGCUUUUAUUCUGGACAAUGCCACCAGGUGGAACUCAACGUUCAAAAUUUUAGAUAGGCUUAUUCAGUGUAAGGAAUAUGUUGUUGGAAUCAAGCACCUAUUGGCUGAUGUUCACCUGAAACAUUGUGAUUGGCUUGAAAUUGAAAGUUUGCGAAGUGUCCUCAAGCCAUGUGCGAAAGCAACAGUGCUCCUCC
Planococcus citri (citrus mealybug) is the source of this 1714-nucleotide long non-coding RNA. RefSeq lists it as uncharacterized. The transcript has 6 exons. NCBI's taxonomy places the organism in Eukaryota, Metazoa, Arthropoda, Insecta, Hemiptera, Pseudococcidae. The record is from RefSeq and is a predicted model, not a curated record.